AUUGAACGCUGGCGGCAUGCCUUACACAUGCAAGUCGAACGGCAGCACGGGUGCUUGCACCUGGUGGCGAGUGGCGAACGGGUGAGUAAUACAUCAGAACGUACCUUAUCGUGGGGGAUAACGCAGCGAAAGCUGUGCUAAUACCGCAUACGCCCUGAGGGGGAAAGCGGGGGAUCGAAAGACCUCGCGCGAUUAGAGCGGCCGAUGCCUGAUUAGCUUGUUGGUGGGGUAAAAGCCCACCAAGGCGACGAUCAGUAGCUGGUCUGAGAGGACGAUAAGCCACACUGGGACUGAGACACGGCCAAGACUCCUACGGGAGGCAGCAGUGGGGAAUUUUUGACAAUGGGGGCAACCCUGAUCCAGCAAUGCCGCGUGAGUGAAGAAGGCCUUCGGGUUGUAAAGCUCUUUUGUCAGGGAAGAAACACCGGCUCUAACACAGUCCGGGAAUGACGGUACCUGAAGAAUAAGCACCGGCUAACUACGUGCCAGCCGCCGCCGUAA
RNAcentral lists this ribosomal RNA (501 nucleotides) under uncultured bacterium. RNAcentral describes it as "partial 16S ribosomal RNA". It matches the Rfam family "Bacterial small subunit ribosomal RNA", at positions 30 to 523 of the family's 1533-position model. The record is from RNAcentral.